AACGCUUCUCUGCCUUUUGGCUAAGAUCAAGUGUAGUAUCUGUUCUUAUCAGUUUAAUAUCUGAUACGUCCCCUACCCGGGGACCAUAUAUUAAAUUGAUUUUUGGAACUGGGAGAUGGAAUAGGGGCUUGCUCCGUCCACUCCACGCAUCGACCCGGUAUUGCAGUGCCUCCAGGAACGGUGCACUUCCC
The sequence is a small nuclear RNA, 191 nucleotides long. Its record names the gene U2. It matches the Rfam family "U2 spliceosomal RNA". Rfam says of the family: U2 is a small nuclear RNA (snRNA) component of the spliceosome (involved in pre-mRNA splicing). The record is from Ensembl.